CGCAGCCGCGGUAAUUCCAGCUCCAAUAGCGUAUAUUAAAGUUGUUGCAGUUAAAAGCUCGUAGUUGAAUUUCGGGAUCAGUGGGUCGGUCGUGCCGCUGGUAUGCACUGGCCCUACUGGUUCCUCCUUCUUGAAGAACUGUAAUGCCAUUAAUUUGGUGUUGCAGGGAAACAGGACUGUUACUUUGAAAAAUUGAGUGUUUAAAGCAGGCAAUCGCUUGAAUACAUUAGCAUGGAAUAAUGAAAUAGGACGAUCGAUCCUAUUUUGUUGGUUUCUAGGAUUGACGUAAUGAUUAAUAGGGAUAGUUGGGGGCAUUAGUAUUCAAUUGUCAGAGGUGAAAUUCUUGGAUUUAUUGAAGACUAACUACUGCGAAAGCAUUUGCCAAGG
Molecule: unclassified non-coding RNA, 387 nt
Filed under: uncultured Glomus
Lineage: Eukaryota; Fungi; Glomeromycota; Glomeromycetes; Glomerales; Glomeraceae
Description: SSU rRNA
Rfam family: Eukaryotic small subunit ribosomal RNA
Source: RNAcentral